GCUGCCCCAGGAUGGGCGGGUA
Molecule: ribosomal RNA, 22 nt
Filed under: Rimacola elliptica
Lineage: Eukaryota; Viridiplantae; Streptophyta; Magnoliopsida; Asparagales; Orchidaceae
Description: partial 26S ribosomal RNA
Source: RNAcentral